Molecule: ribosomal RNA, 924 nt
Filed under: Talekpea foeticia
Lineage: Eukaryota; Fungi; Ascomycota
Description: LSU rRNA
Rfam family: Eukaryotic large subunit ribosomal RNA
Source: RNAcentral
UCGGAUCAGGUAGGAAUACCCGCUGAACUUAAGCAUAUCAAUAAGCGGAGGAAAAGAAACCAACAGGGAUUGCCCUAGUAACGGCGAGUGAAGCGGCAACAGCUCAAAUUUGAAAUCUGGCUUCGGCCCGAGUUGUAAUUUGCAGAGGAUGCUUUUGGCGCGGUGCCUUCUGAGUUCCCUGGAACGGGACGCCACAGAGGGUGAGAGCCCCGUAUAGUAGGACACCAAGCCUGUGUAAAGCUCCUUCGACGAGUCGAGUAGUUUGGGAAUGCUGCUCUAAAUGGGAGGUAAAUCUCUUCUAAAGCUAAAUACCGGCCAGAGACCGAUAGCGCACAAGUAGAGUGAUCGAAAGAUGAAAAGCACCUUGAAAAGGGGGUUAAACAGUACGUGAAAUUGUUGAAAGGGAAGCGCUUGUGACCAGACUUGCGCCAGGCGGCUCAUCCGGCGUUCUCGCCGGUGCACUCCGCCUGGCUCAGGCCAGCAUCGGUUUUCGCGGGGGGAUAAGAGCGGCGGGAAUGUGGCUCCCCACGGGGAGUGUUAUAGCCCGCCGCACGAUACCCUCGCGGGGACCGAGGUUCGCGCUCCGCAAGGAUGCUGGCGUAAUGGUCAUCAGCGACCCGUCUUGAAACACGGACCAAGGAGUCGUCCAUUAGAGCGAGCGUUUGGGUGUAAAACCCGCACGCGUAAUGAAAGUGAACGCAGGUGAGAGCUUCGGCGCAUCAUCGACCGAUCCUGAUGUUCUCGGAUGGAUUUGAGUAAGAGUUCUAACGGACGGACCCGAAAGACAGUGAACUAUGCUUGUAUAGGGUGAAGCCAGAGGAAACUCUGGUGGAGGCUCGCAGCGGUUCUGACGUGCAAAUCGAUCGUCAAAUAUGAGCAUGGGGGCGAAAGACUAAUCGAACUGUCUAGUAGCUGGUUACCGCC